RNAcentral lists this long non-coding RNA (212 nucleotides) under Panax ginseng (ginseng). RNAcentral describes it as "long non-coding RNA (PGIN_LNC004650)". Lineage: Eukaryota; Viridiplantae; Streptophyta; Magnoliopsida; Apiales; Araliaceae. The record is from RNAcentral.
GGCUAGAUAGAGAGGAUUGCUACUUGCUGGGCUUCAUCGCUCACCCCCUUACAGAUUUUUACAGGUCCCAUCGUUGAAAGCUGAGCACUUAUUUGAUACGCUUGGAAUAACUGGAGUUUAGUUUUAGAUGUUAUUAUUUUGUUGAUGGAUUUUGAUAAAACUCUUAGUUUCGAGGAGCUGCGUCUCCAUUAUUUGAAUGUGGUAUUUAUUAG